GAUGAAGAACGUAGCGAAAUGCGAUAAGUAAUGCGAAUUGCAGAAUUUCCGUGAGUCAUCGAAUCUUUGAACGCACAUUGCGCCCACUGGUAUUCCGGUGGGCAUGCCUGUUCGAGCGUCAUUAUCCUCCCUCAAACCCCGGGUUUGGUGUUGGACCCAAGUUGUGUGAACAACUGGUCUUAAAGACAAUGACGGCGUCCGUGGGACCCUCGGUGCAACGAGCUUUUAGGAGCACGCAUCGAGUUGCAAGGACCUUCCGGGCCGGUCUCCUUUACUAUUUUACAAGGUUGACCUCGGAUCAGGUAGGAAUACCCGCUGAACUUAAGCAUAUCAAUAAGCGGGAGGA
RNAcentral lists this unclassified non-coding RNA (346 nucleotides) under soil metagenome. RNAcentral describes it as "partial contains 5.8S ribosomal RNA, internal transcribed spacer 2, and large subunit ribosomal RNA". The stretch from base 1 to 121 matches the Rfam family "5.8S ribosomal RNA", at positions 35 to 154 of the family's 154-position model. The record is from RNAcentral.